This 497-nucleotide ribosomal RNA is filed under the name uncultured bacterium. RNAcentral's name for it is "partial 16S ribosomal RNA". It matches the Rfam family "Bacterial small subunit ribosomal RNA", at positions 28 to 507 of the family's 1533-position model. The record is from RNAcentral.
GAUGAGCGCUGGCGGCGUGCCUAAUACAUGCAAGCCGAGCGAACAGACGAGGAGCUUGCUCCUCUGACGUUAGCGGCGGACGGGUGAGUAACACGUGGAUAACCUACCUAUAAGACUGGGAUAACUUCGGGAAACCGGAGCUAAUACCGGAUAAUAUAUUGAACCGCAUGGUUCAAUAGUGAAAGACGGUUUUGCUGUCACUUAUAGAUGGAUCCGCGCCGCAUUAGCUAGUUGGUAAGGUAACGGCUUACCAAGGCAACGAUGCGUAGCCGACCUGAGAGGGUGAUCGGCCACACUGGAACUGAGACACGGUCCAGACUCCUACGGGAGGCAGCAGUAGGGAAUCUUCCGCAAUGGGCGAAAGCCUGACGGAGCAACGCCGCGUGAGUGAUGAAGGUCUUCGGAUCGUAAAACUCUGUUAUUAGGGAAGAACAAAUGUGUAAGUAACUAUGCACGUCUUGACGGUACCUAAUCAGAAAGCCACGGCUAACUACGUG